Molecule: ribosomal RNA, 244 nt
Filed under: uncultured Actinomycetales bacterium
Lineage: Bacteria; Bacillati; Actinomycetota; Actinomycetes; Actinomycetales
Description: partial 16S ribosomal RNA
Rfam family: Bacterial small subunit ribosomal RNA
Source: RNAcentral
GCUCGAGUGGCGAACGGGUGAGUAACACGUGAGUAACCUGCCCUCGACUUUGGGAUAACUUCAGGAAACUGGGGCUAAUACCGGAUAGGAGCUCCUGCUGCAUGGUGGGGGUUGGAAAGUUUCGGCGGUUGGGGAUGGACUCGCGGCUUAUCAGCUUGUUGGUGGGGUAGUGGCUUACCAAGGCUUUGACGGGUAGCCGGCCUGAGAGGGUGACCGGCCACAUCGGGACUGAGAUACGGCCCAG